Molecule: transfer RNA, 72 nt
Filed under: Camelus bactrianus (Bactrian camel)
Lineage: Eukaryota; Metazoa; Chordata; Mammalia; Artiodactyla; Camelidae
Also listed under: 2 other names
Rfam family: tRNA
About the family: Transfer RNA (tRNA) molecules are approximately 80 nucleotides in length. Their secondary structure includes four short double-helical elements and three loops (D, anti-codon, and T loops).
Source: Rfam by way of RNAcentral
GAGGGUAUAGCUCAGUGGUAGAGUGUGCGCUUAGCAUGCAGGAGGUCCUGGGUUCAAUCCCCAGUAACUCCC